Solea senegalensis (Senegalese sole) is the source of this 363-nucleotide long non-coding RNA. RefSeq lists it as uncharacterized. Lineage: Eukaryota; Metazoa; Chordata; Actinopteri; Pleuronectiformes; Soleidae. The transcript is spliced from 2 exons. The record is from RefSeq and is a predicted model, not a curated record.
CUCAGCUUCCCUGCGCGAAGAGAGCUCUGGUUUUUCCAAGUACGCACGGUGGCUGCUUCAUCUGAGGGAGCGACUCCUCCUGCCGUGCCCAGACGCGUCCUGAACAACCUGCGCUCUCGGGGUGGAUUUUUUUUUUUGAAAUAUUCAAGAACCCGGCAGAGGAGCUUAUGAACCGCUCCUCACUGGACCCACCGCAGGGACGCACGUUAUUUAACGCCAAAAUCGGGGAUUAUUGCUUGUUUUAACCAUGAAGAUGUGAGGGUUUUUAAGCCGUGAAGAAAGAAAAAAAGAACUCCGAGGCUGGCAAAGGUAUAAGUGAGCAAGUAACAAGGAGCAGCAGCAGCAGCAGCAGCAGCAGCAGCA